CUUGCGAGUUGAAACUAUACUCCAACAGCCACCUCGAAGAACUUCUGCUGGAGUUUGAGAAGAAUGCUACCGCCAACGGCGCCAUCGUACAUUGGGCAAAAGAUGCCGAUGAAUACUGCGCCAUCGUCUACGAGAUACUGAAUGAGCAUAACGUCCACCAUUUCAUCAAGAGCAAAUCCAUGCUCGCCGAAGAGUGUGGCUUGAAUCCUUUCCUGAUGGAGCGGG
This 225-nucleotide unclassified non-coding RNA is filed under the name soil metagenome. RNAcentral describes it as "partial internal transcribed spacer 1". The record is from RNAcentral.